Molecule: ribosomal RNA, 460 nt
Filed under: uncultured bacterium
Lineage: Bacteria
Description: partial 16S ribosomal RNA
Rfam family: Bacterial small subunit ribosomal RNA
Source: RNAcentral
CCUACGGGAGGCAGCAGUGAGGAAUAUUGGUCAAUGGGCGAGAGCCUGAACCAGCCAAGUCGCGUGAAGGAUGACUGCUCUAUGGUUUGUAAACUUCUUUUAUAUGGGAAUAAAGUGAGGUACGUAUUCUGUUUUGUAUGUACCUUAUGAAUAAGCAUCGGCUAACUCCGUGCCAGCAGCCGCGGUAAUACGGAGGAUGCGAGCGUUAUCCGGAUUUAUUGGGUUUAAAGGGUGCGUAGGUGGUUUAUUAAGUCAGCGGUGAAAGUUUGUGGCUCAACCAUAAAAUUGCCGUUGAAACUGGUUGACUUGAGUAUAUUUGAGGUAGGCGGAAUGCGUGGUGUAGCGGUGAAAUGCAUAGAUAUCACGAAGAACUCCGAUUGCGAAGGCAGCUUACUAAACUAUAACUGACACUGAAGCACGAAAGUGUGGGUAUCGAACAGGAUUAGAUACCCUUGUAGUC